GAACUAUAGCUCAGUUGGUUAGAGCGCUACGUUGACAUCGUAGAGGCCGAUGGUUCGAGUCCAUUUAGUUCC
Molecule: transfer RNA, 72 nt
Filed under: bovine gut metagenome
Rfam family: tRNA
About the family: Transfer RNA (tRNA) molecules are approximately 80 nucleotides in length. Their secondary structure includes four short double-helical elements and three loops (D, anti-codon, and T loops).
Source: RNAcentral